UACGUAGGUGACAAGCGUUGUCCGGAUUUACUGGGCGUAAAGAGCGCGCAGGCGGUCGUCCAAGUCGAGUGUGAAAGCCCCCGGCUCAACUGGGGAGGGUCAUUCGAUACUGAUCGACUCGAAGGCAGGAGAGGGUAGUGGAAUUCCCGGUGUAGUGGUGAAAUGCGUAGAUAUCGGGAGGAACACCAGUGGCGAAGGCGACUACCUGGCCUGUUCUUGACGCUGAGGCGCGAAAGCUAGGGGAGCAAACGGG
This 253-nucleotide ribosomal RNA is filed under the name uncultured bacterium. RNAcentral's name for it is "partial 16S ribosomal RNA". It matches the Rfam family "Bacterial small subunit ribosomal RNA", at positions 524 to 776 of the family's 1533-position model. The record is from RNAcentral.